This is a long non-coding RNA of Cyprinus carpio carpio, 1036 nucleotides long. NCBI's taxonomy places the organism in Eukaryota, Metazoa, Chordata, Actinopteri, Cypriniformes, Cyprinidae. The record is from Ensembl.
AAGUGAUCAACCUUUUGUAUGUUGUGUUUACAUCUUAUUGUGGAUUGAGUUGAAGGAGCGAUCCUAUGUUUGGAAGGCCCCUGAGUGAAGGAGAUCAUUGAACUCGUAUUGGGAGAGGAUAACACUGUGUACUGGUGGGUGAAGACUGUAUGAACAUUCCUUGUAUAUUGUGGAUAGUGGAUGACGGAUGUGGAGGGAGAUUAACUGCCUUUAAGAAAGGGUUCCGACUGCAUAUUUCUCCGUAGCAGUGGGUAAUUCACCCCCCCCCCUCUCUUGUGCUGAUCUAAUAAUCCUCAGUGUUUGUGUGUUUACUCAGUGUUGAUAGUGGUGCCUUGUGUUGGAGAUCGCUGGGAAGGUCGGAGAGGCUCCGGUGUACGAUAUAUACGCCUGCUGUGGUUUGCCCCCUGCCUAUGUCCAUCUGACACGCCCCGCCAGGACUCUGAGCCCGAAACGGGACUACACCACGGAUCUUCUUUCACUGAGUGUGUGGAGUGCGGUGAGUGCUGCUGUAUUGAAGUGUACACACGAGAAGAAUUGUAGUGCCUUUUGCCUUUGUGGUGUGUGGUGUUUGUCUGUGGCUGUGUCCCCGGUCGUAGGAAGAGGCCUGAAAGAGAGGAGCAGUGUAUUGGUGGCAACCACAGCCUUUACUUUAAGUAAGCUGGAGCUUGGACGUGUUGGAGGCGCCUCUGGAGGAGGUUGGAUGACGUCGCCCACACAGCGAUCUCUGGAAGCGAAGGACAGCAGCCGAUCCUCCCCCGUGUGUCCCCUUGCCAAGCUGGGUGGGAAGCCCAGUGUUGUUCGCAGUUUCACCUGUAAGGCCCACCAGCCGUCAGUCAUCGACCAAAACCCGUAUCCGCUGGGAACACCGACCUCUGAAUAUCUUCAGUGGUGAGUAGCAUGUUAACAGCCCAGCCCUGUGAAUACUCACCUGUGUAUUGAACUUUGUGCUUACCUGAGAGCUAGAACCCCUGCACGCUAACAGCCCAGCCCUGUGAAUACUCACCUGUGUAUUGAACUUUGUGCUUACCUGAGAGCU